Molecule: ribosomal RNA, 523 nt
Filed under: uncultured endophytic bacterium
Lineage: Bacteria
Description: partial 16S ribosomal RNA
Source: RNAcentral
AUUACCGCGGCUGCUGGCACAGAGUUAGCCGGUGCUUAUUCUGUCGGUAACGUCAAAACAGCAAAGUAUUAAUUUACUGCUCUUCCUCCCAACUUAAAGUGCUUUACAAUCCGAAGACCUUCUUCACACACGCGGCAUGGCUGGAUCAGGCUUUCGCCCAUUGUCCAAUAUUCCCCACUGCUGCCUCCCGUAGGAGUCUGGACCGUGUCUCAGUUCCAGUGUGACUGAUCAUCCUCUCAGACCAGUUACGGAUCGUCGCCUUGGUGAGCCAUUACCUCACCAACUAGCUAAUCCGACCUAGGCUCAUCUGAUAGCGCAAGGCCCGAAGGUCCCCUGCUUUCUCCCGUAGGACGUAUGCGGUAUUAGCGUUCCUUUCGAAACGUUGUCCCCCACUACCAGGCAGAUUCCUAGGCAUUACUCACCCGUUCGCCACUGAUCCCACAGAGCAAGCUCCGUGUUCACCGUUCGACUUGCAUGUGUUAAGCACGCCGCCAGCGUUCAUCCUGAGCCAGGAUCAAACUCU